GGUGGGCGAGCAACGGCUCUGGGCGCAGGCGGCGCGCGGCCGGAGUAGGCGGAGCGGCGGCGUCAGCGGUCAAGCGCGGCUGCAGCGGCGAGCGAGCACCGACUCCGGGCGCGGCCGGAGCAGUGCGGCGGGCGAGCGGCCGACGAGGUAGUCGGUGACGGAGAAGAAUACUUCAAUAAGCUUCACUAGCCGCCGCCUCCGGAGACGGAGAGCUCCUCGUCGGAGUUCUAAUCCAACGUAGCUACUGCCUCACAAUUUCAAGCAUAUAUAUAACUACUUGUCUAAACGAUUGAUUAUGUUGUGUUUGAGAAUUAAGAUGGCGGAUCCAGUGAGUAGCAUGAAGCAUAUCACGGAGAUGGCUCUGAAGAUCAAGCAUGCGGUGGAGACGGUCCAGAGAAACAAGGAGGACUGCCUCCAGAUCAGAAGACGAGUGAUGAGACAGGGAGAAUGGGCAAAAGUGGGAGCGGCGGCGAUGGCAUCGGCAUGCGGUAGGAGCAUCGGCGGUCGUGGCGGCGCGUGGUGGGAGCGGCGGCUCCAGGGGGGGAGGGGAACGGCGGCCGUGGCAACGUGCGGUGGGAGAAGCAGUGGCCUAGGCGACGACGGGGAACAUGGGUGACGGUAGGAGCGGGGGAGGAGUCGGCCCGCGGCGGGAGCAGCGGCGGCGUGCGGCGGGAGCAGCGGUGGUCGUGGCGGCGCGUGGCAGGAGUGGCGGCCGCCGCCGCGACGGCGGGAGCGGUAGAGGCGUCAGCGCGCGGUUGGAGCAGGGGAGGCCGCGGCGGCGUGCGGCAACGAAACUGACAUGUGGGCCCCACCUACUUUUUUAUUUAUUUUUGGGACCCAAAUUAAACGGUUUUUUUUAUAGUUUAGGGGUGAAGAUUUCUGGUUUUGUGGUUAAGGGACUAAAAAAAUAUCGCUGUUAAGUUGAGGGACCUCCGAUGAACUUAUUCCACAGAAGAAAGGAGAUUGGAACA
This is a long non-coding RNA of Oryza sativa Japonica Group (Japanese rice), 971 nucleotides long. RefSeq lists it as uncharacterized. The record is from RefSeq and is a predicted model, not a curated record. Lineage: Eukaryota; Viridiplantae; Streptophyta; Magnoliopsida; Poales; Poaceae.